UACAGGGGGGGCAAGCGUUGUUCGGAAUUACUGGGCGUAAAGGGUUCGUAGGUGGCCACCUAAGUCAGACGUGAAAUCCCUCAGCUUAACUGGGGAACUGCGUCUGAUACUGGGUGGCUUGAGUGCAGGAGAGGAAUGCGGAAUUCCAGGUGUAGCGGUGAAAUGCGUAGAUAUCUGGAGGAACACCGGUGGCGAAGGCGGCAUCCUGGACCGACACUGACGCUGAGGAGCGAAAGCCAGGGGAGCAAACGGG
Molecule: ribosomal RNA, 253 nt
Filed under: uncultured bacterium
Lineage: Bacteria
Description: partial 16S ribosomal RNA
Rfam family: Bacterial small subunit ribosomal RNA
Source: RNAcentral